UACAGAGGGGGCGAGCGUUAUUCGGAAUCACUGGGCUUAAAGAGUCCGUAGGCGGCCAAUUAGGUGAGGUGUGAAAUCCCCCGGCUUAACCGAGGAAUUGCGCUUCAAACCGAUUGGCUAGAGGAAGAUAGAGGAAAGCGGAACUGAUGGUGGAGCGGUGAAAUGCGUUGAUAUCAUCAGGAACACCGGUGGCGAAAGCGGCUUUCUGGGUCUUUUCUGACGCUGAGGGACGAAAGCUAGGGGAGCGAACGGG
This 253-nucleotide ribosomal RNA is filed under the name uncultured bacterium. RNAcentral describes it as "partial 16S ribosomal RNA". It matches the Rfam family "Bacterial small subunit ribosomal RNA", at positions 524 to 776 of the family's 1533-position model. The record is from RNAcentral.